GGGGCUGUAGCUAAGUGGUAGAGCGUCCACCUCACAUGUGUGAGGCACUGGGUUCGAUCCUCAGCACCA
RNAcentral lists this transfer RNA (69 nucleotides) under Ictidomys tridecemlineatus (thirteen-lined ground squirrel). Its description in RNAcentral is "Spermophilus tridecemlineatus (thirteen-lined ground squirrel) tRNA". It matches the Rfam family "tRNA". From Rfam's summary of the family: Transfer RNA (tRNA) molecules are approximately 80 nucleotides in length. Their secondary structure includes four short double-helical elements and three loops (D, anti-codon, and T loops). Further hydrogen bonds mediate the characteristic L-shaped molecular structure. tRNAs have two regions of fundamental functional importance: the anti-codon, which is responsible for specific mRNA codon recognition, and the 3' end, to which the tRNAs corresponding amino acid is attached (by aminoacyl-tRNA synthetases). tRNAs cope with the degeneracy of the genetic code in two manners: having more than one tRNA (with a specific anti-codon) for a particular amino acid; and 'wobble' base-pairing, i.e. permitting non-standard base-pairing at the 3rd anti-codon position. Lineage: Eukaryota; Metazoa; Chordata; Mammalia; Rodentia; Sciuridae. The record is from Rfam by way of RNAcentral.